GUGUUUGCUUUGGUACACAUACACUAAAACUGUAGGAAUCAUAAAAAAUUAGGAUGGCCUCUGGGAAAGGAUAAUAUGCAAAUUCACGAAGCCUUUU
RNAcentral lists this small nuclear RNA (97 nucleotides) under Chinchilla lanigera (long-tailed chinchilla). The record is from RNAcentral. Lineage: Eukaryota; Metazoa; Chordata; Mammalia; Rodentia; Chinchillidae.